This 85-nucleotide transfer RNA is filed under the name Cervus elaphus hippelaphus. RNAcentral's name for it is "tRNA-Leu". Lineage: Eukaryota; Metazoa; Chordata; Mammalia; Artiodactyla; Cervidae. The record is from RNAcentral.
UAUUGUGGCAUCCUGAGUGGUCUAAGGCACCGCAUUCAGGUCACAGUCUCCCCUGGAGGCAUGGGUUCGUAUCCCACUCCAGACA